RNAcentral lists this small RNA (552 nucleotides) under Pongo abelii (Sumatran orangutan). Its description in RNAcentral is "retained intron". The record is from RNAcentral. Lineage: Eukaryota; Metazoa; Chordata; Mammalia; Primates; Hominidae.
UAGUGAUUUGUAGAUUUAUCAUGGCCAGGCAUGAAUUACAGGCCAGUGAAAAGUCCCACUCUUGCUUAGCAGUCAUUGAGUAAUGUGUAGUAGCUACAGCACAAAUACUUUUCAAACCACCACGUUUUGGGCUAUUUGGCCAUUGCCUCUAUGAAAACUGAUUUGGGCCAGGGACCUACUUUUUCUCCCCCUUGAUCUAAUUAACACUGUUGUGUCUGUGUAUGAAUAAGAUACUGUGGAUAGACAGCUCCAGUUAAAUCUUGCAAAGUCCUGACCAUUUAAGAGAAUCUAAACUCAAAUGUGAUCAUCUUUACUCUUUCUUGUGCUUAUCAAUUAUAGGUCACUUGACUGGUGGAUAACAGACAAGUGCAAUAUGAUUAAUGGAACAGAUGGAGAUUCUUUUCACCCACUAAUAACCAAAGAUGAGGUCCUUUAUAUCUUCCCAUCUGAUUUUUGCAGGUCAGUGUAUAUUACUUUCAGUGACUAUGAGAGUGUACAGGGACUGCCUGCCUUUCGGUAUAAAGUUCCUGCAGAAAUAUUAGCCAAUACGUC